This 77-nucleotide transfer RNA is filed under the name Aeromonas salmonicida subsp. salmonicida. Its description in RNAcentral is "tRNA-Val". It matches the Rfam family "tRNA". Rfam says of the family: Transfer RNA (tRNA) molecules are approximately 80 nucleotides in length. Their secondary structure includes four short double-helical elements and three loops (D, anti-codon, and T loops). The record is from RNAcentral. Lineage: Bacteria; Pseudomonadati; Pseudomonadota; Gammaproteobacteria; Aeromonadales; Aeromonadaceae.
GCGUCCUUAGCUCAGCGGGUUAGAGCACCACCUUGACAUGGUGGGGGUCGGUGGUUCGAAUCCACUAGGACGCACCA